UAAGGAAUAUUGCUCAAUGGGAGAAAUCCUGAAGCAGCAACGCCGCGUGGAGGAUGAAGGGUCUAUGACUUGUAAACUCCUGUAAAGAAGGAAAAAAUUCCCAUUUGAUGGGAGAUGAUGGUACUUCUGGAGUAAGCCCCGGCUAACUACGUGCCAGCAGCCGCGGUAAUACGUAGGGGGCAAGCGUUGUCCGGAUUUACUGGGUGUAAAGGGUGCUCAGGCGGAUUUGUAAGUCAGAGGUGAAAUCUUACAGCUUAACUGUGAAACUGCCUCUGAUACUGCAAGCCUAGAGUAUGGAAGAGAGUGAUGGAAUAUCUGGUGUUGCAGUGAAAUGCGUAGAUAUCAGAUAGAACACCAAUGGCGAAGGCAGUCACUUGGUCCAUUACUGACGCUAAAGCACGAAAGCGUGGGUAGCAAACA
Molecule: ribosomal RNA, 420 nt
Filed under: uncultured bacterium
Lineage: Bacteria
Description: bacterial SSU rRNA
Rfam family: Bacterial small subunit ribosomal RNA
Source: RNAcentral